Molecule: unclassified non-coding RNA, 274 nt
Filed under: fungal sp.
Lineage: Eukaryota; Fungi
Description: partial internal transcribed spacer region
Rfam family: Eukaryotic small subunit ribosomal RNA (bases 1-46)
Source: RNAcentral
AAGUCGUAACAAGGUUUCCGUAGAGGAAUCUGCGGAAGGAUCAUUAGUGGAGACGCUGAACGAGACGCUGAACGAAGUGAAGCGUUGAGUGAGGCGACGAGUGGGGUGAGAGAGAGAUGCUGAAGCGAGGCGCUGAGCAAGGCGUUGAACGACGCUGAGCAAGACGCUGAACGACGCUGACCACCCACCACCCACACAAAUCUAACUCAUCACUACUCAAUCCUAAACAACAUCACAACCUUUACAACUUCCAGCAGUGGAUCUCUAGGCUCUC